Ornithodoros turicata is the source of this 615-nucleotide long non-coding RNA. RefSeq lists it as uncharacterized. The record is from RefSeq and is a predicted model, not a curated record. The transcript has 3 exons. NCBI's taxonomy places the organism in Eukaryota, Metazoa, Arthropoda, Arachnida, Ixodida, Argasidae.
CGAAGAGUAAAAAAAAACCCCUUGCCUAAUUUUGACGGUAACGGGGAGGGGGGCUUCGGAGAAAGUCCGCGAAAUAAGAAAGAAAGCAUCCGUCCUCCUAUAUAAAAGCGUGCACCGAACGCAACAGUUCACCAAUAGUUCUACCAACUUCAGCAGGUGAUACCUCAUAGCAGCCAGCAAGAUGAACAAGUGCAGCGCAAUCCUCGCCCUCGCCCUCGUGGUUGUCCUUUGCCUCGUCGCUGUUGAGGCUCAGUUUGGCUACGGCCGUGGCUUCGGUGGUGGGUACGGCCGUGGCUUCGGUGGUGGAUACGGCCGUGGCUUCGGCGGUGGAUUCGGCCGUGGCUUCGGUGGUGGAUACGGCCGCGGCUUCGGUGGUGGAUACGGCCGUGGCUUUGGCGGAUACGGUGGAUACGGCCGUGGAUUCUACGGCUAAAUGCUCAAGCUUCCCACUAUAGGUUUCACUUCAUGCCUCUCCUGUGCUACCAAAGUUACCGAAGCAGCGCCAAAUCACCGUAGAAGCUACCUGAAAGAAUCGAAUUACGUCAUCAAUGGUGCCUCUGUGACACCGCUCACGAACAGGGUUUUUUGUAAUAAAGUGCAAUGUGUGAUAAGUUA